Molecule: small RNA, 67 nt
Filed under: Thalassiosira gravida
Lineage: Eukaryota; Bacillariophyta; Thalassiosirophyceae; Thalassiosirales; Thalassiosiraceae
Description: Mitochondrion-encoded tmRNA
Source: RNAcentral
UGGAACCAAAGAUAGAACCAGAAUGUUUCAAUAUAGAAUAAAAAUAUGUAGGAGUAAUAUUAGAAUA